AUGUGUGAUCAUACCAUCACUAAUGCACCACACUAAUGCACUUGAUCCCAUUAGAACUCCACAUUUAGGCAUGCUUGGGAGAGAGUAGUACUAUGAUGGUUCACCUCAUGGGAAGUCCUUGUGUUGCUCCUC
Molecule: ribosomal RNA, 132 nt
Filed under: Lupinus angustifolius (narrow-leaved blue lupine)
Lineage: Eukaryota; Viridiplantae; Streptophyta; Magnoliopsida; Fabales; Fabaceae
Source: RNAcentral